GUCGACGAAGCAAUUAAGAUGAAGUUUUCGGAUGGAAUCUUGAUUGACUGAGUGGCGGACGGGUGAGUAACGCGUGGAUAACCUGCCUCACACUGGGGGAUAACAGUUAGAAAUGACUGCUAAUACCGCAUAAGCGCACAGUGCCGCAUGGCAGUGUGUGAAAAACUCCGGUGGUGUGAGAUGGAUCCGCGUCUGAUUAGCCAGUUGGCGGGGUAACGGCCCACCAAAGCGACGAUCAGUAGCCGACCUGAGAGGGUGACCGGCCACAUUGGGACUGAGACACGGCCCAAACUCCUACGGGAGGCAGCAGUGGGGAAUAUUGCACAAUGGGCGAAAGCCUGAUGCAGCGACGCCGCGUGAGUGAAGAAGUAUUUCGGUAUGUAAAGCUCUAUCAGCAGGGAAGAAAAUGACGGUACCUGACUAAGAAGCCCCGGCUAACUACGUGCCAGCAGCCGCGGUAAUACGUAGGGGGCAAGCGUUAUCCGGAUUUACUGGGUGUAAAGGGAGCGUAGACGGCGAAGCAAGUCUGAAGUGAAAACCCAGGGCUCAACCCUGGGACUGCUUUGGAAACUGUUUUGCUAGAGUGUCGGAGAGGUAAGUGGAAUUCCUAGUGUAGCGGUGAAAUGCGU
This 629-nucleotide ribosomal RNA is filed under the name uncultured bacterium. RNAcentral's name for it is "bacterial SSU rRNA". It matches the Rfam family "Bacterial small subunit ribosomal RNA", at positions 46 to 691 of the family's 1533-position model. The record is from RNAcentral.